AAUGAACGCUGGCGGCAGGCCUAACACAUGCAAGUCGAACGGAUCCUUCGGGAUUAGUGGCGGACGGGUGAGUAACGCGUGGGAACAUACCCUUUGGUACGGAAUAGCCUCGGGAAACUGGGAGUAAUACCGUAUGUGGUCGAGAGACGAAAGAUUUAUCGCCAAAGGAUUGGCCCGCGUUGGAUUAGGUAGUUGGUGGGGUAAUGGCCUACCAAGCCGACGAUGCAUAGCUGGUUUGAGAGGAUGAUCAGCCACACUGGGACUGAGACACGGCCCAGACUCCUACGGGAGGCAGCAGUGGGGAAUCUUAGACAAUGGGGGAAACCCUGAUCUAGCCAUGCCGCGUGAUCGAUGAAGGCCUUAGGGUUGUAAAGAUCUUUCAGGUGGGAAGAUAAUGACUGUACCACCAGAAGAAGCCCCGGCUAACUCCGUGCCAGCUGCCGCAGUAA
Molecule: ribosomal RNA, 449 nt
Filed under: uncultured bacterium
Lineage: Bacteria
Description: partial 16S ribosomal RNA
Rfam family: Bacterial small subunit ribosomal RNA
Source: RNAcentral